UUAAGUUCAGCGGGUAGUCUCACCCGAUUUGAGGUCAAGGUUUUAUUUUUGUGGGUCCAGCCUUCCACCGAUAUAAAACGGUAGUGACCGGAGCACCAUCAUUGUCCGUGAGACAGUUAGAAGCAGGCAUCCAAGGGACAGUGCCAAAUCCAAAACGUAGAAACAUCUUAUCACGUUAAGGAUCAGCAAAGCGGAUCCCA
This 200-nucleotide unclassified non-coding RNA is filed under the name Russula sp. Its description in RNAcentral is "partial internal transcribed spacer 2". Lineage: Eukaryota; Fungi; Basidiomycota; Agaricomycetes; Russulales; Russulaceae. The record is from RNAcentral.